UAUUCUUGGGUGAGGAUUUAAAAAAAGAAAAUGGACAUUCUUGGGUGCUAACUCUUUAGAGAUUCCGAUUUAGCAGAGCUGGGCUGGAGCUCAGGAAUCUGCAUUUUGAAUACACUCCCCAAGGGAAUCCUCAUGCA
RNAcentral lists this microRNA precursor (137 nucleotides) under Myotis lucifugus (little brown bat). RNAcentral describes it as "miRNA (ENSMLUG00000023629.1)". The record is from RNAcentral. Lineage: Eukaryota; Metazoa; Chordata; Mammalia; Chiroptera; Vespertilionidae.